AGAGUUUGAUCAUGGCUCAGGACGAACGCUGACGGUGUGCUUUAGACAUGCAAGUCGAACGAGAAAGCCCUUCGGGGUGAGUACAGUGGCGAACGGGUGAGUAACACGUGGGUAACCUGCCCCUCGCAGGGGGACAACUGGGGGAAACCCCGGCUAAUACCCCGUACGCUUGCCGGGCCGCAUGAUCCGGCAAGGAAAGGUAGCUUCGGCCAUCCGGCGAGGGAUGGGCCCGCGGUCCAUUAGCUAGUUGGUGGGGUGACGGCUCACCAAGGCGACGAUGGAUAGCUGGUCUGAGAGGAUGAUCAGCCACACUGGGACUGAGACACGGCCCAGACUCCUACGGGAGGCAGCAGUCGGGAAUCUUGCGCAAUGGGCGAAAGCCUGACGCAGCAACACCGUGUGGGCGACGAAGGCCUUCGGGUCGUAAAGCCCUGUUGUUGGGGACGAAGGGCGAAGGGUUAAUAGCCCCUAGCUUGACGGUACCCUUCGAGGAAGCCCCGGCUAACUACGUGCCAGCAGCCGCGGUAAUACGUAGGGGGCGAGCGUUGUCCGGAAUUAUUGGGCGUAAAGAGCGUGUAGGCGGUUCGGUAAGUCUGCCGUGAAAACCUGAGGCUCAACCUCGGGCGUGCGGUGGAUACUGCCGGACUAGAGGACGGUAGAGGCGAGUGGAAUUCCCGGUGUAGCGGUGAAAUGCGCAGAUAUCGGGAGGAACACCAGUAGCGAAGGCGGCUCGCUGGGCCGUUCCUGACGCUGAGACGCGAAAGCUAGGGGAGCGAACAGGAUUAGAUACCCCAGUAGUCC
RNAcentral lists this ribosomal RNA (801 nucleotides) under uncultured Rubrobacter sp. Its description in RNAcentral is "bacterial SSU rRNA". It matches the Rfam family "Bacterial small subunit ribosomal RNA", at positions 8 to 796 of the family's 1533-position model. The record is from RNAcentral. Lineage: Bacteria; Bacillati; Actinomycetota; Rubrobacteria; Rubrobacterales; Rubrobacteraceae.